UGAUGCCUUGCAUGCUUUAAAGGACAGACGUCAUGAAUGCCAAGACUUUUGUGGCGGUCCAUCCUGCCAGUGUCUUCUCCCACUUUUGCUCUGUGGAUUUGAGCUCACAGUUUGUGCUGUGCCCACCACCUGCCCACCCUAACGAGACUCCUGGAGACUUGGCUGGCCAGUCACCAGAGGAAGAGGGGCCCAGCAGCAUGCCAGCAUUCACCCACCUGUGGGUAUCAGUCAGGCUCCUGGUGGAAGCCAGAGGACAUAUUCGAAUGGGUAUUUGAGGAAAGGGGCUGUUCACAGAAGUGUGGACAGAGUUAAGAGAACCAGUAAGAGAUGAGGAAUGUCCUGGACCAGCAAGAGUGGGAGCUGUUAUCUCCCUGGGUCUAGGAAAGGUGUCCACAGAUCCCAAAGAGAGCUGUGGCUGUAGAGGAGGAUCAUCAGGAGCUGCAGCCAUCAGUAGAAAGAUGUGGCCACUGCCAAACCAGCAAGGAAGAAUCUGAGCAAAUAACCACCUCUCCUCUCUCUCUCCCACCUCCUAUGACAUCCUCCACUGUUUGAAUUCCACUAGGGCCAGACAGUGAGGCACCCUGGUGAUGCAGUCCAAGAGGGAGUGGGCAGAGAGGAGCCAGUGGGUAUGGAGGGGAAACAGAGAAACAGAAUUCCAGCUCACUCUGUGGGAUUUCUGGGUCUGAUAGAAACAUGGCAUUAUUAUUAUUAUUAUUAUUAUUAUUAUUAUUAUUAUUUUGAGAUGGAGUUUUGCUCUUGUUACCCAGGCUGAAGUGCAGUAGCAUGAUCUCGGCUCACUGCAACUUCUGCCUCCCGCGUUCAAGAGAUCCUCCUGCCUCAGCCUCCCAAGUAGCUGGGAUUACCGGCACAUGCCACCACGCCUUGCUAAAUUUUGUAUUUUUGGUAGAGGUGAGGUUUCACCAUGUUGACCAGGCUGGUCUUGAACUCCUCACCUCAGGUGAUCCGCCUGCCUCGGCCUCCCAAAGGGCUGGGAUUACAGGCAUGAGCCACUGUGCCCAGCCUGCAGCAGCUAAAUUUUACAGUGUCUCUUUUCUCCUUCUGGAAACUAUAUGGAACAACAACAAGACUGAGGAGGAGGAGAAGGAGGAGGAGGAGGAAAAAGCCCAUCAUCAACACACACAUCAAACUCAACUUCAGAGAAAUUAGGAAGCUGGGAAGCCAUGUAAACCAAAAGCAGGAGACACCAGCAGAACCAACGCAGGAAGCCAGGGAAGUGCAGAAGAACAGGGCAGGGGGCAACCCAGGGGGGAAUCUUCACUGUUGCCAGCAACACACACUCCCAGCAGGAGAGGACCCUCAGAGUGAGAACGCAGAGCUGGAGAAGUGAAGAAGGAGCAGGUGGUGCCCGGGGAAGUCCAGGGGUGUGGGAUCUGAGAGCACCCCUUCCCAAGAGAGGAAGGAACACUUGGGAAGGCAGGGCUGAGUCCCUGGAGGCUGUAUCCGGGAAAGGAGGAUGGCAGUAGAAUCUUCCUGAAGCCGAGUGGGUUCUGAGAGGCAGAGGGGCAGUGGUACAGAGGUGAGGCUGACACUUCUGUGCAGGAAGGGCAGGCUCCUGAGGAAGGGAGCCCCGAAUGCUCUCCACUAGAUUCCCAGGGAGCCCCACUCCCUCCACAGGGACCUCGCGCUGACAUCUGGGAAAUGCCAUUCAUACUGGAACCUCCGACACACUGCCAUGAAUGUGAGGGUUUCGUGACUGAUGGGGAGACUGCAGUCAAAUAAAACAGAUACUACACGCACUCGUCGGGGCAGCCGUACUGCAGAAGCACGUUGAUGCACUCCUGGCUGGAGGCCUGCCGGGCGUAGGUCAGCGCUGUGUUCCCGUGGGCAUCUCGGGCCAUGACGUCCACCCCGUACCAGAUCAGGAGCUGUGCCAGGACCACAUUCCCCUUGCGGCAGGCCAGAUGGAGCGCCGUGCAGCCGUCUCCCUCCCCACAGGUCUCGUUCACCUCCUCACGGGAGCCAUGUGCCAGCAGCAGGAUGGCUGUCUGCAGGUCCUCAUCAGCGGUGGCCCGCAGCAGGUGCUGGCCCAGGGACAGCUCAGUGCAGGGUAGUGGGGCCAGAAAGAGCUUCUCCUCAUAUUUGGAACGGAUCCACCGUUCCUUCUCUUCCCUCGUGGACUUUACUGAGGGUUUUGUCUGCCCCUGGCUGCUCCCUUCCCAGAUGCUGUUGGCUAGGUCAUUGCCAAUAGAUGACAUAACCUUCCUGAGCUCAACUGGCCAGUCAUCCAGCUCCAGAGAUCGCACACGGGAAAGGCGGGUGCCAAGACUGCGGUGGAUUCCUGAGCAUUCAAUACACAUGAGGACUCCCAAGUUCAAACUGGCCCACUUAGGAUUCUGGGUCUCAUAGUCCACACAGUGGGCGUUCCCACGCAUGUUUUGGAUCGACUGCAGGGCCAUGGCCUCGCUCUGGCUGGUCAGCUGGGACUUGCUUUUACUGCUCUCGCAUGACUGCAGGCUGGCCAGGAUCUGGCUCUGGAUGGCUUGGACCCAGGCAUCCCGCUCCUCAUACGUCGUGGCUUCAAAGUGCCAUGUUUGGCCAGUGGCAGACACA
RNAcentral lists this long non-coding RNA (2571 nucleotides) under Homo sapiens (human). RNAcentral's name for it is "SYNPO2L antisense RNA 1 (SYNPO2L-AS1)". Lineage: Eukaryota; Metazoa; Chordata; Mammalia; Primates; Hominidae. The record is from RNAcentral.